GAUGAACGCUGGCGGCGUGCCUAAUACAUGCAAGUCGAGCGAACAGAUGAGGAGCUUGCUCCUCUGACGUUAGCGGCGGACGGGUGAGUAACACGUGGAUAACCUACCUAUAAGACUGGGAUAACUUCGGGAAACCGGAGCUAAUACCGGAUAAUAUAUUGAACCGCAUGGUUCAAUAGUGAAAGACGGUUUUGCUGUCACUUAUAGAUGGAUCCGCGCCGCAUUAGCUAGUUGGUAAGGUAACGGCUUACCAAGGCAACGAUGCGUAGCCGACCUGAGAGGGUGAUCGGCCACACUGGAACUGAGACACGGUCCAGACUCCUACGGGAGGCAGAAGUAGGGAAUCUUCCGCAAUGGGCGAAAGCCUGACGGAGCAACGCCGCGUGAGUGAUGAAGGUCUUCGGAUCGUAAAACUCUGUUAUUAGGGAAGAACAAAUGUGUAAGUAACUAUGCACGUCUUGACGGUACCUAAUCAGAAAGCCACGGCUAACUACGUG
This 497-nucleotide ribosomal RNA is filed under the name uncultured bacterium. RNAcentral describes it as "partial 16S ribosomal RNA". It matches the Rfam family "Bacterial small subunit ribosomal RNA", at positions 28 to 507 of the family's 1533-position model. The record is from RNAcentral.